Molecule: ribosomal RNA, 520 nt
Filed under: uncultured bacterium
Lineage: Bacteria
Description: bacterial SSU rRNA
Rfam family: Bacterial small subunit ribosomal RNA
Source: RNAcentral
AGAGUUGAUCAUGGCUCAGAACGAACGCUGGCGGCGCGCUUAAGCAUGCAAGUCGAACGGCAAGAGGUAGCAAUACCUCCUAGAGUGGCGGACUGGUGAGUAACACGUGGGUGACAUACCCUUCAGAUGGGGAUAGCUAUUAGAAAUAGUAGAUAAUACCGAAUACGAGCACAGGGGUUAGAGAUCUGUGAGGAAAGGAGCUAAGGCUCCGCUGAAGGAAUGGCCUGCGGCCCAUUAGCUAGUUGGUGAGGUAAGAGCCCACCAAGGCGAUGAUGGGUAUCCGGCCUUAGAGGGUGAACGGACACAUUGGGACUGAGAUACGGCCCAGACUCCUACGGGAGGCAGCAGCUAAGAAUAUUCCGCAAUGGACGAAAGUCUGACGGAGCGACGCCGCCGUGGAUGAAGAAGGCCGGAAGGUUGUAAAAUCCUUUUGAAACUGAAGAAUAAGCGUUGUAGGGAAUGACAGCGUGGUGACAGUAGGUUUUGAAUAAGCAACGGCUAAUUACGUGCCAGCCGCCGC